UUUCUUUUGUGGUUCAUAAGUGUGAUGAUUGGGUUUUUUGCUCAUGUGUGAGAUGUGCCUCCUCAAACCUCGUUAUGAUGUCGGCACAUCACCCAUCUGACU
Molecule: small nucleolar RNA, 102 nt
Organism: Pan troglodytes (chimpanzee)
Lineage: Eukaryota; Metazoa; Chordata; Mammalia; Primates; Hominidae
Rfam family: Small nucleolar RNA U13
Source: Rfam